AUACGGAGGAUGCAAGCGUUAUCCGGAUUUAUUGGGUUUAAAGGGUGCGUAGGCGGUUUGCUAAGCGGGAGGUGAAAUGCCGGCGCUCAACGUCGGAAGUGCCUCCCGAACUGGUGGACUGGAAUGCCUCGGCCGGGGGAGGAAUGUGAAGUGUAGCGGUGAAAUGCUUAGAGAUUACACAGAACACCGAUUGCGAAGGCAUCUCACGAAGGGUUGAUUGACGCUGAGGCACGAAAGCGUGGGGAUCAAACAGGAUUAGAUACCCUGGUAGUCCACGCAGUAAACGAUGAUGGCUAACCGCUGGGCUUAUCAGUUCAGUGGCCAAGCGAAAGCGAUAAGCCAUCCACCUGGGGAGUACGACCGCAACGGUGAAACUCAAAUGAAUUGACGGGG
Molecule: ribosomal RNA, 393 nt
Filed under: uncultured bacterium
Lineage: Bacteria
Description: partial 16S ribosomal RNA
Rfam family: Bacterial small subunit ribosomal RNA
Source: RNAcentral